UGCCGAUUCCUGCAAACACCAACUUAAAUCUAAAUUUAUCUUAGAAAACCUAAUUUUAAUUUAGUUUAGCAAAAAGUGCAAUUCUGGCUUUAUGGUCGUCUAAAUUUAAAAUAUUUUAUCAGGAUGUUUGACACGCUUAAAUUUAAUAGAACGUCUACGAGGUCUAUGGUCAACCAGCUGGUGUCGUUUUUUUCGUAAAGAAUUGGUAAAGAAGAAUGAAUGGAAGUGAGUGAAUGAAAUCGUCAUUUGAACAAAAAAAUACAUGUUUUUCUUAUAAUUUCGUACGAAGGAAUACAAAAUCAUAAUUUAUGUGUGUUUUAGCAGCAAAUACAAUAAAUAAAUGCAAUAAAACAUUUUUCUAUGAAUUUUAAAACAUACAUCUGGCAUUAUUCUAAACCAUAAAAAACACAGCGUCAAGAUCAUACUUAAAAAAAAAACGUGUUGAGAUUAGGUAUCGUUAGGUUUUCAAAUCAAAAAUACUUAAUAAAACACAAAAAUGACUAAAUAAAAGGACGUCGAUGAAGAGGAAGACCAAGGCGGAACUAGUAAAAGUGGAAGUUGUGUUGUAUCAGAACGACGGAACUCGCUGUGAAUGCAUAUUAAAAGUCCUCAACCAACAAGACUCCUAUCUUCUUCUUCGUCGUUCCCUCACUGCUGAGGAUCGCGACCACAGUUUAUGGUUUUCCACUCGGUACGGCUAUGUGCAGCGUGCACCGCCCUCUGUAUGCUGCCGCCCACCGUCUUCUUCACGAUGUCAGACCACCUCGUAGGCGCCCUUCCUCGCGCACGUUUGCCAUCCAUUUGCCCAACGAUGAUCUGCUUCUCCAGACUGUGCUUCGGAGACCGCAUAAUAUGUCCGAAGAAGCUUAGGGCACGAUUCCGGCAUAUUGAGGAGAAGCCGCGUCGUGAUCUUGAGCUCUUUUAAUAUGGACUCAUUCGUACACGUAAAUAGCCUUAAAUUACCAAGUAGAGAAAGUCCAGCAUGAGGUGAGCACGAAGUUUUGAAGACAGGAGUGAUUGUAUUAGAUUUCCUCCUGAGCAGUUGCACUACAAAUUUAGUGAUGAAGAGGCAAUACUUGACAGAAACCUUAAGUGGGAUGACAUAAUUAUAAAGAAAAUCAAUAAGAGGAUGAACUAUUUUAAUGUUUAUAAAACAAUAGUAUGGAAGAAUUUUGAUGCAUCUUGGAGCAAUGGCAACAUAUUUGGGAGUUGUGAGUGACAACGAGCAGAUUACAUAACAAUGGGAGGAUAACAAGGGCCUUAACUGAAAAAACUGGGAAUGUUCCCAAAUAAACCUCACAGAUGUAGAAGAAAGACAAAAUAAAUUUGUUUAUUUUAUUUCUGUUCCCUACUAAACUAGUAAUAAAACAUACUUGUUACAAAUA
Molecule: long non-coding RNA, 1385 nt
Organism: Pectinophora gossypiella (pink bollworm)
Lineage: Eukaryota; Metazoa; Arthropoda; Insecta; Lepidoptera; Gelechiidae
Exons: 3
Source: RefSeq, a predicted model, not a curated record